Molecule: long non-coding RNA, 504 nt
Filed under: Mustela putorius furo (domestic ferret)
Lineage: Eukaryota; Metazoa; Chordata; Mammalia; Carnivora; Mustelidae
Description: lncRNA (ENSMPUG00000029741.1)
Source: RNAcentral
GGUAGGAGUCUGAGGACACAACAGAGAGGAAGACCACUAGAAGGAACGUGAGAGAUGACAUUUUGAAAACAAGGCUGUCGUCUUAUGCAGAGCUUCCAACCUACCUGGAGAGAUGGUCUAUAGAAUACAAGGACAAAGAGUCACCAAAAGAAGACAGAAGAUGAGUUCAUAUUGCUUUCUAGUAUUUUGAUGCUCUUCUGUGGUUCUGCCAAGCCAUAUUACCUGGUAAAAAGUAUCCUUGGAAAUCAACCAGCUUCUUGCAAGAUGGAUGGAGCUAUUCCUUAUGUGUCUAACACCAGCCUAGCUCCUGCUUCCUGGAGAAUCUCUCUGCCAAGGCCAGAUGUCAGCUCAUCUCUGGGGCAUUGCUCUUACAGGACACUGUUCUUCUGCUUUAUCUCUGAGGCAAGGAACACGGGCCAUGAGCCUCUGGUAUGUCAAUUCUACCUGGACAGUCUUUCCUUCUCACCAGAGAAAAUAAAUCUCCUCCCAAAAGAUAAGCACAAG